RNAcentral lists this ribosomal RNA (245 nucleotides) under uncultured bacterium. RNAcentral describes it as "partial 16S ribosomal RNA". It matches the Rfam family "Bacterial small subunit ribosomal RNA", at positions 524 to 768 of the family's 1533-position model. The record is from RNAcentral.
UACAGAGGUCUCAAGCGUUGUUCGGAUUCAUUGGGCGUAAAGGGUGCGCAGGCUGCGGGGUAAGUCGGAUGUGAAAUUUAGGGGCUCAACCUCUAAACUGCAUUCGAUACUGCUCUGCUAGAGGACUGUAGAGGAGAUUGGAAUUCACGGUGUAGCAGUGAAAUGCGUAGAUAUCGUGAGGAAGACCAGUGGCGAAGGCGAAUCUCUGGGCAGUUCCUGACGCUCAUGCACGAAGGCCAGGGGAG